Molecule: ribosomal RNA, 488 nt
Filed under: uncultured Bacillota bacterium
Lineage: Bacteria; Bacillati; Bacillota
Description: bacterial SSU rRNA
Rfam family: Bacterial small subunit ribosomal RNA
Source: RNAcentral
UAGGGAAUCUUCGGCAAUGGGCGAAAGCCUGACCGAGCAACGCCGCGUGAGCGAUGAAGGCCUUCGGGUCGUAAAGCUCUGUUGUUAAGGAAGAACAAGUACGAGAGUAACUGCUCGUACCUUGACGGUACUUAACGAGAAAGCCACGGCUAACUACGUGCCAGCAGCCGCGGUAAUACGUAGGUGGCGAGCGUUAUCCGGAAUUAUUGGGCGUAAAGCGCGCGCAGGCGGUUUCUUAAGUCUGAUGUGAAAGCCCACGGCUCAACCGUGGAGGGUCAUUGGAAACUGGGAAACUUGAGUGCAGAAGAGGAAAGCGGAAUUCCACGUGUAGCGGUGAAAUGCGUAGAGAUGUGGAGGAACACCAGUGGCGAGGCGGCUUCUGGUCUGUAACUGACGCUGAGGCGCGAAGCGUGGGGAGGCAACAGGAUUAGAUACCUGGUAGUCCACGCCGUAAACGAUGAGUGCUAGGUGUUGGGGGGUUCCGACCC